Molecule: ribosomal RNA, 608 nt
Filed under: uncultured bacterium
Lineage: Bacteria
Description: bacterial SSU rRNA
Rfam family: Bacterial small subunit ribosomal RNA (bases 1-544)
Source: RNAcentral
CCUACGGGAGGCAGCAGUGGGGAAUUGUUCGCAAUGGGCGCAAGCCUGACGACGCAACGCCGCGUGGAGGAUGAAGGUCUUCGGAUUGUAAACUCCUGUUGCUCGGGACGAAAAGCUUCGACCUAAUACGUCGAAGUCUGACGGUACCGGGUGAGGAAGCCCCGGCUAACUCUGUGCCAGCAGCCGCGGUAAUACAGAGGGGGCAAGCGUUGUUCGGAAUUACUGGGCGUAAAGGGCGCGUAGGCGGCCCUCUAAGUCAGACGUGAAAUCCCCGGGCUUAACCCGGGAACUGCGUCUGAUACUGGGGGGCUUGAAUCCGGGAGAGGGAUGCGGAAUUCCAGGUGUAGCGGUGAAAUGCGUAGAUAUCUGGAGGAACACCGGUGGCGAAGGCGGCAUCCUGGACCGGUAUUGACGCUGAGGCGCGAAAGCCAGGGGAGCAAACGGGGAUUAGAUACCCCCGGGUAGUCCUGGCCCUAAACGAUGAAUGCUUGGUGUGGCGGGUAUCGAUCCCUGCCGUGCCGAAGCUAACGCAUUAAGCAUCGCGUGGNGUAGUCGNGAGNGNGACGACGAAGAAGUGNGNGUGAGAGNGCGAGCGCGACGAGGAGAGG